GUUUGGAUAGGUUGGUCACCCAGAGCAGGGCUAUCAGGGGAUGUAACAUUUGUGGGGGUUUAUGUAUUUUUAAGGUACUUUUGGGGUGUUUCGGAAAUGUGUUUUUUGUGCCUGGAGAUAAUUGAGUUUAAUAUAGUGCUUGACUCAAUGAUCUCCCAGGCACAGGGAAGGGAUUGUCUUGUUUUGUACAGGAGUGUCCUGUACCUGAG
Molecule: non-coding RNA, 209 nt
Organism: Pelobates cultripes (western spadefoot toad)
Lineage: Eukaryota; Metazoa; Chordata; Amphibia; Anura; Pelobatidae
Source: the annotation of a GenBank genome assembly